This 642-nucleotide ribosomal RNA is filed under the name uncultured bacterium. Its description in RNAcentral is "bacterial SSU rRNA". It matches the Rfam family "Bacterial small subunit ribosomal RNA", at positions 802 to 1454 of the family's 1533-position model. The record is from RNAcentral.
GUAAACGAUGGAUACUCGCUGCGGGCUAAAGAUUGUCCGUGGCUUAGCGAAAGCGAUAAGUAUCCCACCUGGGGAGUACGCCGGCAACGGUGAAACUCAAAGGAAUUGACGGGGGCCCGCACAAGUGGUGGAGCAUGUGGUUUAAUUCGAUGAUACGCGAGGAACCUUACCUAGGCUAGAAUGCGCGUGACCGGCUCAGAGAUGAGCCUUUCCUUCGGGACACAAAGCAAGGUGCUGCAUGGCCGUCGUCAGCUCGUGCCGUGAGGUGUUGGGUUAAGUCCCGCAACGAGCGCAACCCCUAUGGUUAGUUGCCAGCACGUAAUGGUGGGGACUCUAGCCAGACUGCCUGCGCAAGCAGUGAGGAAGGCGGGGACGACGUCAGGUCAUCAUGGCCCUUACGCCUAGGGCGACACACGUGCUACAAUGGACGGUACAGCGGGUAGCUACCGGGCGACUGGAUGCCAAUCUCGAAAAGCCGUUCUCAGUUCGGAUUGGAGUCUGCAACUCGACUCCAUGAAGCUGGAAUCACUAGUAAUCGCGCAUCAGCCAUGGCGCGGUGAAUACGUUCCCGGGCCUUGUACACACCGCCCGUCAAGCCAUGAAAGUCUGGUAGACCUGAAGCUGGUGCUCGUCACAGAAGCC